Molecule: ribosomal RNA, 238 nt
Filed under: uncultured bacterium
Lineage: Bacteria
Description: partial 16S ribosomal RNA
Rfam family: Bacterial small subunit ribosomal RNA
Source: RNAcentral
CGGUAGCAAUACGUCAGCGGCAGACGGGUGAGUAACGCGUGGGAACGUACCUUUUGGUUCGGAACAACACAGGGAAACUUGUGCUAAUACCGGAUAAGCCCUUACGGGGAAAGAUUUAUCGCCGAAAGAUCGGCCCGCGUCUGAUUAGCUAGUUGGUAGGGUAAUGGCUUACCAAGGCGACGAUCAGUAGCUGGUCUGAGAGGAUGAUCAGCCACAUUGGGACUGAGACACGGCCCAA